This 160-nucleotide unclassified non-coding RNA is filed under the name Oryza sativa (Asian cultivated rice). RNAcentral describes it as "partial microRNA MIR455b-19 precursor". The record is from RNAcentral. Lineage: Eukaryota; Viridiplantae; Streptophyta; Magnoliopsida; Poales; Poaceae.
CCUCCAUUUCACAAUGUAAGUCAUUCUAUCAUUUCUCAUAUUCAUAUUGAUGUUAAUGAAUUUAGACUUGAUGUUAAUGAAUUUAGACAUAUAUCUAUCUAAAUUCAUUAACAUCAAUAUGAAUGUGGGAAAUGCUAGAAUGACUUACAUUGUGAAACGG